UUUAAGCAUGGCCAAAAAUAUAGCUGUUGCAUAUUUUCAACUGUAACCAGUCAAAUCCCAGAAAGGAUAAACUCCGCAGAGUCAAAAAUAUAAGGGCUAACUGGACUUCUACAGCUAGAGAUGACAACUGUUAGACCCCUGACAAAGCUGAUCAGCUGAUCGACAAGCGGCACGGCAAUGGCGAGGGUUUUGGCAUGAUGGCCUUGUCAUUGGCCUAUGUGCGAGGGAAAAUCAACAUGCAAGACAAUGCGGGGGUGUUGUUAAUGGCAACAAACUGUUGCUAAGGCAAGUGAGACGGACUACACUUGUAUUUGAGGGCUAAGGUGUGACGGACUACACCAAAGCAAGAGUGGGCUGCGUACAAGCAAGGCCAAGACCUUGACGGAACUAGGCGGGCUGGAUGGGAGCUUGACAAGGCUAAACGGGAAAGACCUCGGCGCUAAAGUGAGGCAGCUUAGUGCCAAGGCAUUGACAUUGACAAUGUGAUGUUACCAUGACUUAGGUGUGCGGGCUGGCACCUAAGUUAUUUGUGGGCAAACGACUUGGCAAAGGGAAGGGCAUCAAGGCUUGGUGACUUGAUGUUAAAAUCAGCAUGGGCAACGGGCAGACUUGAUCAAGUAGGGGCGACUUGACAAGAACAAGCUACUGUGGCAGCGGAUUGGCGUGCGGCUAAGUCAAGGGUGACGAGCUGUGGUGAUGACAUUGAGCGGAAGCAGUGUCAAAAGCUAAGGCUGGGCGCAAAGCCAGCCUUAGGCGUGCAGCAGCUGGCCAAGAAACACGCACAUGCAGCGCACAUGGAAUGGUUUUCAAGUGUGCUGUGCACAUGCCAUGCAGUUGGCGGUUACAACUGCCUUUGUCCAAGAGUUGCUGAUUAUAGGCUGAGUCUAUGUACGUUUUUAGGCAUGUUAGAGACAUGUCCUACACGUUUUGAUCAUGGGGAUCAUGUCCUAUCAGUUGGGGGAUGUCAACUGAACAUAGGAAACACUUUUGGGGCUGACUACAUUAUAUAUAUGUGUGCUAGCAGCCUUAAAAACGGGCUAAGUACCUAGGGAGGGAAAAUGUCUGAAAGAUAGGCAUAGGGUUGUCUAUUUUAUGGCUUGAGCAUGGCAAAAUAUGUGCCAUUGCCUUACCAAACGAGGGGCAGCACGAGCGAUCUUAGGCAUGGGCUUUUAUAGGGCAGAUUCGUGCAAGUGUAGGCCAUUUUUGUGAGUUGGUGCCUGUCAAGGGUGGCAGCACCUUGCCUAACUCGAGAAUUUCCUUUGUAAUUGAUUUAUUAUAAAAGGUUGGGAAAGGGUUCCCGUAAAUCUGUGUUGUCUUUGUUUAUUCAUGUUGCCUUAAAUUUAUUCUAAGUGUUAAACCUCGAAAGCGAACGAAAAUUGGGUAAGGCUGAGGUCAAGUGGGGACUUGACUGCCGCACAUCGGGCAGCAUUUUUGGCGGACAGAAAACGCCCCUGUGACAAUUGGUAUCAGAGCAAGCUAGGUUUGGUUUGGUUUGGUUCGUGACGAGGUCGAGAUGGCCAUGGACAAGACUACAAGGCAGUGGGUCAGUGUUCCUGUUCGUGGAAGGGACUGUCUUGGCUUAGAAAUUCAGAAAAGGCAAGGAAGGCAGUGAUGCAGAAAUUUCGAGUUUGUGGGUGCCAAAAAUCAGUGUGGGUUGUUUCAAAUCAGUCAGUUGGCGUGCUGGAUUUGCUGUGGGAACGACGGGCAAGAAGCGCAAUGAGAAAACAAAAACGUUGCACUUGAGGGCAAGGACAACGUAAUUCUCAAAGGGGUGCUGAACUUGUGAUGUCUUUGCAAAUAGCAGCAUGUGUUGGGAUCUAUUCGACGAGGGCGUCGAAUUCAACUGGUUGGGGUGGUUUGUUAGACCCCUGACAAAGCUAAUCGGCAAGCGGCACGGCAGUGGCGAGGGUUUUGGCAUGAUGGCCUUGCCAUUGGCCUAUGUGCGAGGGAAAAUCAACAUGCAAGACAAUGCGGGGGUGUUGUCAAUGGCAACAAACUGUAGCUAAGGCAAGUGAGACGGACUACACUUGUAUUUGAGGGCUAAGGUGUGACGGACUACACCAAAGCAAGAGCGGGCUGCGUACAAGCAAGGCCAAGACCUUGACGGAACUAGGCGGGCUGGAUGUGAGCUUGACAAGGCUAAACGGGAAAGACCUCGGCGCUAAAGUGAGGCAGCUUAGUGCCAAGGCAUUGGCAUUGGCAAUGUGAUGUUGCCAUGACUUAGGUGUGCGGGCUGGCACCUAAGUUAUUU
This 2251-nucleotide long non-coding RNA is filed under the name Nicotiana tabacum (common tobacco). RNAcentral's name for it is "long non-coding RNA (NTAB_LNC010642)". The record is from RNAcentral. Lineage: Eukaryota; Viridiplantae; Streptophyta; Magnoliopsida; Solanales; Solanaceae.